This 231-nucleotide ribosomal RNA is filed under the name uncultured bacterium. RNAcentral describes it as "partial 16S ribosomal RNA". It matches the Rfam family "Bacterial small subunit ribosomal RNA", at positions 118 to 346 of the family's 1533-position model. The record is from RNAcentral.
UGAGGAACAUGACCUUCGGCGGGGGAGUAGCCGGCCCAACGGCCGGGUAAUACCGCGUACGACCACAUGGGGACAUCCCUGAGUGGUGAAAGCAGCAAUGCGCCGAUGGAGUGCCUCGCGGCCUAUCAGCUAGUUGGUGAGGUAACGGCUCACCAAGGCGACGACGGGUAGCUGGUCUGAGAGGAUGGCCAGCCACAUUGGGACUGAGACACGACCCAGACCCCUAGGUGG